RNAcentral lists this ribosomal RNA (379 nucleotides) under uncultured bacterium. Its description in RNAcentral is "bacterial SSU rRNA". It matches the Rfam family "Bacterial small subunit ribosomal RNA", at positions 521 to 896 of the family's 1533-position model. The record is from RNAcentral.
UAAUACGUAGGGGGCAAGCGUUGUUCGGAAUUACUGGGCGUAAAGGGCGCGUAGGCGGCACGGCAAGUCGGGAGUGAAAGCCCGGGGCUCAACCCCGGAGGGUCUCUCGAAACUGCCGAGCUAGAGUGCGGAAGAGGCAACUGGAAUUCCCAGUGUAGCGGUGAAAUGCGUAGAUAUUGGGAAGAACACCGGAGGCGAAGGCGGGUUGCUGGGCCGACACUGACGCUGAGGCGCGAAAGCCAGGGGAGCAAACGGGAUUAGAUACCCCGGUAGUCCUGGCCCUAAACGAUGGAUACUUGGUGUAUGGGGUUCUCACAGUCCCCGUGUGCCGUAGCUAACGCGGUAAGUAUCCCGCCUGGGGAGUACGGUCGCAAGGCUG